Homo sapiens (human) is the source of this 1306-nucleotide long non-coding RNA. Ensembl annotates it as long intergenic non-protein coding RNA 539. NCBI's taxonomy places the organism in Eukaryota, Metazoa, Chordata, Mammalia, Primates, Hominidae. The record is from Ensembl.
AGAGCACUGGGCACAGGACAAGCUUGCUACCCCUGGGUGUGGGGCUGAGCAGGCCUGGAAGAAACAAGGCUGCUGGGCUGAGCUUGGGGCCAGCCGCUCAUUUCACCAAGCUGAGCUGUAAUCACAUCCCCAGGUAGCACUGUGCCUUCAGAAUAUGACUGAGCAGCAUUAUGUCUGCAGUGCUAAGCAGGUGUGAUCAAUAGAUGGAGAGCUGUGACCAGCUGGGCUGUGAUGCGGAGCCUGCAACCAAGCUGCCUGGGGGAAAUUCAGGAGGCCAGCCAUCGUCUUUAACCAGGGCAGCCCCGAGAGUGUCUGCAAGGGCUGCAUGCCCUGAGUAGAUCCUCGCAGAUGCUGAUCAGGGUGUCUUCUGGGCUCCACCUGGCACAGAAAAGCCAGCAAAGCUCCAGGGGCUUCCCUUCUUUCCUGGCAGAGAAAGAGCAGGCAGAUUCAGAGCCCCGUGAGGCUGUCUUGAGCUCCACCGGGAUCUAGGGAGAGCCAGCAGCACCACCAAGAUAUUUACGUUGUGAACUGGUAAAAUCUGAACUGCAGAAUAUCAAUUUCCAGACAUUCUUCCUAGAUGAUGCCGUCUGCCACGGAGACCAUGUAGAUGGAUUGAAUGGGGAUAUGAUGAGGAUGACCACCCCUGCAUUUGCUAAGUUCUUGGGAGUGGCAUCGAUCUCAGCCAUUCCACUGGAAUAGGGUCAGGAAACAAAACGUGAGGGCUCUACCAGCUGCUCAGUCUAUCCUUUCCAAUUGAGCACACUGGAACUGAGGAAGCAAAGACAGGGUGAGCCCUAACACCCUCAUCAUCACUGCUGAGCCUGCCUUGACAAGAACUCCAUUUAUCACCCGCCUCCAUAAUAGCCCAUUCUAACUAGCUGUCAUCGUGGCAUUUCAGGUUCUGCUGAUGUCAUUGUAAGAUAAUGGACCUUAACUAGUGGGCUGAAGGCAAUGAGGGGAUGUGAGGAUGCAUCUUGUGAAGGACAAAAGUCAUCCUGUAAGGAUUCAUGAGACCUGAGCAGCCAGCCAGCCCUGAAAUGGUUGGAACAGGAGAAAGAAGAAGAGCUCGACAGAUACCCUGCCUGGGCUGGCAGCUAGCUGCACCACAAGCUGGCCAGCUGACAGCGGGCACAUCCCUUCAUCACCCAGUGCCUUUCUUCCCUCUUGUGAAAAUGGAGAUAUGCUGAGAAGGUUACUUCAGCUCAUCCAGAGAAAGCUUCUUCAGCUAACUAGGCUGUAGAAAGGGCCUACAGCCUAAAUUUUCAAAAACAAGUUAAUGCCAGAAUAUAAACUCCGUGAAGUAACA